Molecule: long non-coding RNA, 807 nt
Filed under: Citrus maxima (pomelo)
Lineage: Eukaryota; Viridiplantae; Streptophyta; Magnoliopsida; Sapindales; Rutaceae
Description: long non-coding RNA (CMAX_LNC003188)
Source: RNAcentral
AACAACCCACGGUUCCUUUAUUUUCCCAACUGCUUAUAAUUCAACUUGCGCACAACAAAAAAACCCCCUGUGACUCCAAUUUCCUUUUCUUCUGCUUCAAUUCUAGUUCUACGUUUAAGUACGUUGGUUAAAUCUUUAACGUUUCCGAAAGUUCUUUUCCAGAAGCACUUCUCAAGUGCUUAUUCAAACAAAAAGCACAUUGGUCCUGCCUAAAGAGUACCUAAAUUGGUUGGGUUUUGUUUUGUGUGUGUGUGUGUGUGUGUAAAUAUAAGAGGUGAUGAAAUGGAGGGCGUGACAAAAUGACUGUUACACGAUGACUGUCGAGGUGAAUAAUCUAAAUUUAUGCAAAAUGCUUUUGUUGUUAGAUUCCUAGUUUUCACCGAAGAAGCAGCAAACACAUAAAUAAUAUCAAAAAAUGGUUAAAUUAUAAGGACACUUUUUUUUUUUACGUUAAACCCAAAUAUAUAUAUAUAUAUAUAUAUAUAUAUAUAUAUAUAUUUGCAUGUAUAUAUGUAUACUCUUAUGAAAUGUGUUUCCAUACAUAUAGUGGAUUCUUUUAAUAACCAAUUACAAUGGUACCAUACACAUAUAGCUAAGGAGAGCAGCAACUUUGAUUAGAGAAGUGGGUUAAUAAAAGGAAAUUAUUCGAAAUUGACAACACCGCAACUCUUAUAAAUAAUGGUGACUGGAUCGACUCUGGACCACUCCUCUAAUUUUAUUUAUUUAUUUAUUAUUAUUAUUUUGUUGUUGUUGUUGUACGAUUUCAUCAUCACUUUUAAUUUUGUGUUUGCUGCUGCAAUUUGACAG